Molecule: long non-coding RNA, 2391 nt
Organism: Python bivittatus (Burmese python)
Lineage: Eukaryota; Metazoa; Chordata; Lepidosauria; Squamata; Pythonidae
Source: RefSeq, a predicted model, not a curated record
GUGGAAAUCUUACCCACCUGUACUAGUCUAGCAAAGCUGAGCUGCAAUACUGUAGAUGGCCACUAGAGGGGGCCAAAGGGUUAACAUUUGCUUAUAUGAUUCUGACUUGACACGCUGAACUUGUCAACUAAAGUAGGUAUAGAUGUUCCAGCGCAGGGAAGACCAGGUUAUGCAUGCUUGCCAGAGAGAGAGAGAGAGAGAGAGAGAGAAACUAUAAUCCAGAUAUCAAUUCAAAAUCUUGAAUGUAUAGUUUUAGGUGCUAAAAACAUUAACCCCUUGUGCAGGGUGAUUCAUUCUUGCUUAGUUUUUUUCACAAUGUUUUUUAAAAACAACAACAAACAACAACCUUCUGUUCUGUUUCUGAAGAAAACUGCAGAUCUUGGUUAGCUCUUAUUUAUCAAUUACCGUUUUGAUUUAUAUUCUACCUUUCUACCCAUAGGACACCCAGAACAGCUAUUCUUAUCACAUCUGUCAAAAAGAAAACAAAGGAAGUUUUUCCACCAUCCUUGUUGUCAGGCCUGAAGACAGAGUUAUCCCAGGACUGAUUCCACAGUAGAGUCAGGUUGGACAUUUACAGCAUCAUCAUUCCUUUUGCACAGAGAACCAAAGAAGAUCAGAGUUUGCAGAGGGGGAGGGGAUGACAAAGGUAGCCCUGUCUUGUCACCAUGCAAGUGCCAUCUCUUUGGUAUGUGUGUCGUGACAUUGCGCCCGAGUACGAAAAGGCCAGGGCUUACGGCACAGCAGUACGAAGCUGCUUUUGUCAUUUGGGUGAAAGCAGCUGAACCCGUGGUUGUGUCCACCACCAAUGGGAUUUCCCCUGAGUUCCCUUGGAUUCUUGAAUAACGGUAAAAGGAGUUUAAACAUUAAACAGGAGUUUAAAAAUAAAGCAAGUUUUCUUUCAUGGUUGGUGUCCAACAAUAUUUAUUAAGAAAUCUAUUAACCAGUGCAGCCAAGAGCCAUCUCUCCUUUAUGAACAUGAGUCCACUAGAGUGAUUAUAUUGAUGAUUACUGAGGUCUAUCAGUGGUUUAUCAUAAAAAUAGAGAUAUUAAAAAAGUUAAAGUUCACUAGCACGAUGUGCCUGGAGUCAGACACAACCUCUGAGGCUUUUCCACCUUGGGCUAUCAGCUGUUUGUCUCCCGUGCAUAAGCCACCUGAAAAUGAAGUUCCAUCUUGGAUUUCAACCCUUUUGGCACCAGUGAUGGCCAGGUGUUCUGUCUGGACCGAGGUUAAUGCAGCCCCAAUAGGUGGAUUCUCCUACUUCCUUUCCUCUCCUAUCCCUGCCGGGAAAGCAAGUUUGAGUUGUUGUCCACUCUGUGGACACAUCUUUUGAGGACUGGUGCAGGGAAAAAUCCAUAUUUACAAUUCUGCCUAUCACUUGGGCUGGAAGGGGAAACUUGGCAUGGCUGUUGUCAAUGUAUCCCAAUUAAAACAAAGAAACAAGAAUGGUGACAAGAAACAUGCCCCACUGCUCCUGAUUCCAUUCCUAGAGAUCCAGAUAUAAAUCAGAAGGCAUGGUUUUGCUUCCAUAUAGAUCGCCAGAAAUCUAGGAUAUGAAGGAGCGAAUGGUGACAGGAAAGCAUCUGACAUAUGCAGGUCUGCUUAGAAGUCAGCUUAACCCUUAAGUAUCCUGGCUUUGGAGAACAGGGCUGUCUGAUGUUAGCUACAUUCAGUUGGAGACUGAGGACUGAUUAUAUUUAAGCAGUGCAACAUGAUGGAGGAACAAUGGUUUGUGACAGCUUCAAGUCCCUGUAUUUUAGUUCAAGCUGUGAAAGCUUACCUUGAAAACUUUAGUAAUUGGCAGGAGUUUAUGAUGUGAAUUGCAUUCUCCUUGAAGUAUGAUAACUGGAAUACUGUGCUCCUGGCCAAACAUUAGCCAUUUCUUGGACACAGCUAUGAAGAGCUGCUACUUCUUUUACAUUGCCUUGACUGCCCUUCUUUAUGCAGAAUGUCAAUCCAUUCAAACAAUCAGCUUGUGCCUUCAAAGCAAUGGAAUUUGUGUAUAUAUGAACUGUCCUGAAAAUUUUGCCAGUAUUGGAAGAUGCAGAAAGCAGGUCCCUUGCUGCAGAAGUCAUGAAUAUCUUUGUCUUUGUAAUGGAAUGUACAUCCCAUGAUGAUGAUUUAAAAGACUGAGUGCAACAUACUUUCUGCAUUUCUUUUGGUGAUCACGCUAGAGAAGAGUUAACCAACUGCCUUGAUCUUAUCAUAACUAUGAAGCCCUGGUGUGUCGUCCUCCUUUUCCUCACCUUUGUGAUUCUCUCUGAUCUGGGGGAAGGAGAAAGAAUACUGAAUUCAAGAACGUGCAUUAAACAUAACGGAGUUUGCAGAAAGACCUGUCCUGCCACUGACAAGAAGAUUGGGAUCUGUCAUGUCAACCAGCCUUGCUGCUUACC